This 253-nucleotide ribosomal RNA is filed under the name uncultured bacterium. RNAcentral's name for it is "partial 16S ribosomal RNA". It matches the Rfam family "Bacterial small subunit ribosomal RNA", at positions 524 to 776 of the family's 1533-position model. The record is from RNAcentral.
UACGAGAGGCCCAAACGUUAUUCGGAAUUACUGGGCUUAAAGAGUUCGUAGGCGGCAUGAAAAGUAGGGUGUGAAAGCCCUCGGCUCAACCGAGGAAUUGCGCUCUAAACUGUCGUGCUCGAGGAACCUAGAGGUGAGCAGAACAGAUGGUGGAGCGGUGAAAUGCGUUGAGAUCGGAAGGAACGCCCGUGGCGAAAGCGAGGUCCUGGACGUCUGCUGACGCUGAGACGCGAAAGCUAGGGGAGCGAACGGG